RNAcentral lists this ribosomal RNA (253 nucleotides) under uncultured bacterium. Its description in RNAcentral is "partial 16S ribosomal RNA". It matches the Rfam family "Bacterial small subunit ribosomal RNA", at positions 524 to 776 of the family's 1533-position model. The record is from RNAcentral.
UACGUAGGGGGCAAGCGUUGUCCGGAUUUAUUGGGCGUAAAGAGCGUGUAGGCGGCCAUGUAGGUCCGUUGUGAAAACUCGAGGCUCAACCUCGAGACGCCGAUGGAAACCAUGUGGCUAGAGUCCGGAAGAGGAGAGUGGAAUUCCUGGUGUAGCGGUGGAAUGCGCAGAUAUCAGGAAGAACACCCGUGGCUAAGGCGGCUCUCUAGUACGGUACUGACGCUGAGACGCGAAAGCGUGGGGAGCGAACAGG